GUGGGUGUAGCUCAGUGGUAGAGUGCAUGCUCAGCAUGUGCUAGGUCCUGGGUUCAAUCCCCAGCACCUCCA
Molecule: transfer RNA, 72 nt
Filed under: Camelus bactrianus (Bactrian camel)
Lineage: Eukaryota; Metazoa; Chordata; Mammalia; Artiodactyla; Camelidae
Also listed under: 2 other names
Rfam family: tRNA
About the family: Transfer RNA (tRNA) molecules are approximately 80 nucleotides in length.
Source: Rfam by way of RNAcentral